RNAcentral lists this ribosomal RNA (433 nucleotides) under uncultured bacterium. RNAcentral's name for it is "partial 16S ribosomal RNA". It matches the Rfam family "Bacterial small subunit ribosomal RNA", at positions 29 to 507 of the family's 1533-position model. The record is from RNAcentral.
AGCGAACGCUGGCGGCAGGCCUAACACAUGCAAGUCGAACGAACUCUUCGGAGUUAGUGGCGGACGGGUGAGUAACACGUGGGAACGUGCCUUUUGGUUCGGAAUAACUCAGGGAAACUUGUGCUAAUACCGAAUGUGCCCUUCGGGGGAAAGAUUUAUCGCCAUUAGAGCGGCCCGCGUCUGAUUAGCUAGUUGGUGAGGUAACGGCUCACCAAGGCGACGAUCAGUAGCUGGUCUGAGAGGAUGACCAGCCACACUGGGACUGAGACACGGCCCAGACUCCUACGGGAGGCAGCAGUGGGGAAUCUUGCGCAAUGGGGGAAAGCCUGACGAAGCCAUGCCGGGUGAAUGAUGAAGGUCUUAGGAUUGUAAAAUUCUUUCACCGGGGACGAUAAUGACGGUACCGGGAGAAGAAGCCCCGGCUAACUUCGUG